Molecule: ribosomal RNA, 738 nt
Filed under: Nocardiopsis terrae
Lineage: Bacteria; Bacillati; Actinomycetota; Actinomycetes; Streptosporangiales; Nocardiopsidaceae
Description: bacterial SSU rRNA
Rfam family: Bacterial small subunit ribosomal RNA
Source: RNAcentral
GCAGUCGAGCGGUAAGGCCCUUCGGGGUACACGAGCGGCGAACGGGUGAGUAACACGUGAGCAACCUGCCCCUGACUCCGGGAUAAGCGGUGGAAACGCCGUCUAAUACCGGAUAUGACACACCAUCUCCUGGUGGUGUGUGGAAAGUUUUAUCGGUCAGGGAUGGGCUCGCGGCCUAUCAGCUUGUUGGUGGGGUAAAGGCCUACCAAGGCGAUUACGGGUAGCCGGCCUGAGAGGGCGACCGGCCACACUGGGACUGAGACACGGCCCAGACUCCUGCGGGAGGCAGCAGUGGGGAAUAUUGCACAAUGGGCGAAAGCCUGAUGCAGCGACGCCGCGUGGGGGAUGACGGCCUUCGGGUUGUAAACCUCUUUUACCACCAACGCAGGCCCCGGGUUCUCUCGGGGUUGACGGUAGGUGGGGAAUAAGGACCGGCUAACUACGUGCCAGCAGCCGCGGUAAUACGUAGGGUCCGAGCGUUGUCCGGAAUUAUUGGGCGUAAAGAGCUCGUAGGCGGCGUGUCGCGUCUGCUGUGAAAGACCGGGGCUUAACCCCGGUUCUGCAGUGGAUACGGGCAUGCUAGAGGUAGGUAGGGGAGACUGGAAUUCCUGGUGUAGCGGUGAAAUGCGCAGAUAUCAGGAGGAACACCGGUGGCGAAGGCGGGUCUCUGGGCCUUACCUGACGCUGAGGAGCGAAAGCAUGGGGAGCGAACAGGAUUAGAUACCCUGGUAGUCCAUG